GGGUAUGUAGUACAGUGGUAGAACAACUCUGAUUACUGCAGAGAAGCCUCAGGUUCGAUUCCUGGCGUACCUC
Non-coding RNA from Trematosphaeria pertusa, 73 nucleotides. The record is from the annotation of a RefSeq genome assembly. Lineage: Eukaryota; Fungi; Ascomycota; Dothideomycetes; Pleosporales; Trematosphaeriaceae.